RNAcentral lists this ribosomal RNA (301 nucleotides) under uncultured bacterium. RNAcentral describes it as "partial 16S ribosomal RNA". It matches the Rfam family "Bacterial small subunit ribosomal RNA", at positions 509 to 807 of the family's 1533-position model. The record is from RNAcentral.
CAGUAGCCGCGGUAAAACAGAGGGUGCGAGCGUUAAUCGGAUUUACUGGGCGUAAAGCGUGCGUAGGCGGCUUUUUAAGUCGGAUGUGAAAUCCCUGAGCUUAACUUAGGAAUUGCAUUCGAUACUGGGAAGCUAGAGUAUGGGAGAGGAUGGUAGAAUUCCAGGUGUAGCGGUGAAAUGCGUAGAGAUCUGGAGGAAUACCGAUGGCGAAGGCAGCCAUCUGGCCUAAUACUGACGCUGAGGUACGAAAGCAUGGGGAGCAAACAGGAUUAGAUACCCGUGUAGUCCCUGUCUCUUAUAC